GAUACCCUGGGUAGUCCACGCAGUAAACGAUGAAUGUCAGCUGUCCGGGACUUCGGUCCUGGGUGGCACAGCGAAAGCGUUAAACAUUCCACCUGGGGAGUACGCCGGCAACGGUGAAACUCAAAGGAAUUGACGGGGGCCCGCACAAGCGGAGGAACAUGUGGUUUAAUUCGAUGAUACGCGAGGAACCUUACCCGGGCUCAAACGCCGUCUGACGUAGGCUGAAAGGCUUAUUUCUUCGGACAGACGGCGAGGUGCUGCAUGGUUGUCGUCAGCUCGUGCCGUGAGGUGUCGGCUUAAGUGCCAUAACGAGCGCAACCCCUGUCGACAGUUGCUAACAGGUUAGGCUGAGGACUCUGUCGAGACUGCCGGCGCAAGCUGUGAGGAAGGCGGGGAUGACGUCAAAUCAGCACGGCCCUUACGUCCGGGGCGACACACGUGUUACAAUGGCAGGUACAGCGGGAAGCCACCCGGCGACGGGGCGCGGAACCCGAAAACCUGUCUCAGUUCGGAUUGGAGUCUGCAACCCGACUCCAUGAAGCUGGAUUCGCUAGUAAUCGCGCAUCAGCCACGGCGCGGUGAAUACGUUCCCGGGCCUUGUACACACCGCCCGUUAAGCCAUGGGAGCCGGGAGUGCCUGAAGUGCGUGAGCGCGAGCAGCGCCCUAGGGUAAAACCGGUGACUGGGGCUAAGUCGUAACAAGGUACC
Molecule: ribosomal RNA, 708 nt
Filed under: uncultured bacterium
Lineage: Bacteria
Description: bacterial SSU rRNA
Rfam family: Bacterial small subunit ribosomal RNA
Source: RNAcentral